UACGUAGGGUGCAAGCGUUUGUCCGGAAUUAUUGGGCGUAAAGAGCUCGUAGGCGGUCUGUCGCGUCUGCUGUGAAAACUCGGGGCUUAACCCCGGGCCUGCAGUGGGUACGGGCAGACUAGAGUGCGGUAGGGGAGACUGGAAUUCCUGGUGUAGCGGUGAAAUGCGCAGAUAUCAGGAGGAACACCGGUGGCGAAGGCGGGUCUCUGGGCCGUAACUGACGCUGGAGGAGCGAAAGCGUGGGGAGCGAACAGG
RNAcentral lists this ribosomal RNA (255 nucleotides) under uncultured bacterium. RNAcentral describes it as "partial 16S ribosomal RNA". It matches the Rfam family "Bacterial small subunit ribosomal RNA", at positions 524 to 776 of the family's 1533-position model. The record is from RNAcentral.